GCUUAACACAUGCAAGUCGAACGGACAGACGGAGAGCUUGCCCUCUUGAAGUUAGUGGCGAACGGGUGAGUAACGCGUAAUCAACCUGCCCUUCAGAGGGGGAUAACAACGGGAAACCGUUGCUAAUACCGCGUACGCCGUGAGGGGGAAAGAUUUAUUGGUCUGUGAUUGGCCCGCGCAACAUUAGGUAGUUGGUUAGGUAACGGCUAACCAAGCCUACGAUGUUUAGCUGGUCUGAGAGGACGAUCAGCCACACUGGAACGGGGACACGGUCCAGACUCCUACGGGAGGCAGCAGUGAGGAAUAUUGGGCAAUGGGGGCAACCCUGACCCAGCCAUGCCGCGUGAGUGAAGAAGGUUUUCGGAUUGUAAAGCUCUUUCGGGUGAGAAGAUAAUGACGGUAUCACCUAAAGAAGCCCCGGCAAACUUCGUGCCAGCCGCCGCCGUAA
RNAcentral lists this ribosomal RNA (448 nucleotides) under uncultured bacterium. RNAcentral's name for it is "partial 16S ribosomal RNA". It matches the Rfam family "Bacterial small subunit ribosomal RNA", at positions 46 to 523 of the family's 1533-position model. The record is from RNAcentral.